This 91-nucleotide transfer RNA is filed under the name Candidatus Babelota bacterium. Its description in RNAcentral is "tRNA-Ser". It matches the Rfam family "tRNA". From Rfam's summary of the family: Transfer RNA (tRNA) molecules are approximately 80 nucleotides in length. Their secondary structure includes four short double-helical elements and three loops (D, anti-codon, and T loops). The record is from RNAcentral.
GGAGAGGUGGCUGAGUGGUCUAUAGCGCUUGCCUGCUAAGCAAGAGUCUCGGUAACGGGGCGCGAGGGUUCGAAUCCCUCCUUCUCCACCA